RNAcentral lists this small nuclear RNA (164 nucleotides) under Procavia capensis (Cape rock hyrax). RNAcentral describes it as "U1 spliceosomal RNA (ENSPCAG00000019803.1)". It matches the Rfam family "U1 spliceosomal RNA". From Rfam's summary of the family: U1 is a small nuclear RNA (snRNA) component of the spliceosome (involved in pre-mRNA splicing). Lineage: Eukaryota; Metazoa; Chordata; Mammalia; Hyracoidea; Procaviidae. The record is from RNAcentral.
AUACUUACCUGGCAGGGGAGAUACCAUGAUCACGAAGGUGGUUUUCCCAGGGCGAGGCUUAUCCAUUGCACUCCGGAUGUGCUGACCCCUGCGAUUUCCCCAAAUGUGGGAAACUCGACUGCAUAAUUUGUGGUAGUGGGGGACUGCGUUCGCGCUUUCCUCUG